This 228-nucleotide unclassified non-coding RNA is filed under the name Hevea brasiliensis (rubber tree). The record is from RNAcentral. Lineage: Eukaryota; Viridiplantae; Streptophyta; Magnoliopsida; Malpighiales; Euphorbiaceae.
ACCUUGAGUGCCUCCACCACUCUAAAGAGAAAGCUUCUGUUUUUGUGUGAAUUAAUUUCCAUUCCAAGCAGUUGUGCUUGCAUGAAAGAGCUCUAAAUGCUGCUCGAUUAACCAAUUCCUAGCGGUACCAUGUCCAUCUGAAGCACUUUCAAAUGCAAUGAAAAUGCAUGUGGAUUCAAAAAAAAAAUAGUUGAAGUUUCUCUAUUGUUGCUAAAACUUGAUUCCCUG